UGCUUAUUAAGAAAGACGGAGGGAUUAGACCCAACGAAGUCUUAGCAACCUGUGCCAACAAGGUGCUACAUUCUAAUCUCGGUUAACCGGGAGAAAGAUAAGUU
This 104-nucleotide non-coding RNA is filed under the name Pedobacter sp. RNAcentral's name for it is "SAM-I sequence". It matches the Rfam family "SAM riboswitch aptamer (S box leader)". Rfam says of the family: The SAM riboswitch is found upstream of a number of genes which code for proteins involved in methionine or cysteine biosynthesis in Gram-positive bacteria. Lineage: Bacteria; Pseudomonadati; Bacteroidota; Sphingobacteriia; Sphingobacteriales; Sphingobacteriaceae. The record is from RNAcentral.